RNAcentral lists this ribosomal RNA (247 nucleotides) under uncultured bacterium. RNAcentral describes it as "partial 16S ribosomal RNA". It matches the Rfam family "Bacterial small subunit ribosomal RNA", at positions 523 to 769 of the family's 1533-position model. The record is from RNAcentral.
AUACGUAGGGUGCAAGCGUUAAUCGGAAUUACUGGGCGUAAAGCGUGCGCAGGCGGUUAUAUAAGACAGAUGUGAAAUCCCCGGGCUCAACCUGGGAACUGCAUUAGUGACUGUAUAGCUGGAGUGCGGCAGAGGGGGAUGGAAUUCCGCGUGUAGCAGUGAAAUGCGUAGAUAUGCGGAGGAACACCGAUGGCGAAGGCAAUCCCCUGGGCCUGCACUGACGCUCAUGCACGAAAGCGUGGGGAGC